AUUACUGUUAUAAUCAAUAUCUCUUUAUAGGUUAUAAAAUAGAGGCCUCUUGUACUUUUGGGACAUCAGACUUCUUGGAUUCCUAUUAUUAGAAGCUCAGUGAAGCAUCAAAUUCCAAAAUAUUUCUCUAACACAAAGGACCUGCCUGAAUACCUGCCUGCCACAAUGAAGAAUCCAAGCAGUUUAAAGAGUAAAAGUUCUCCAGCAUCCUCAUGUAAAUAAAAGUAUCCCUUCAAAGAGAUAGACACAGGUGGAUUUUGUAAUCUUACGUGACAACUAAAUCAAGGUUUCAAGAGAAAUGGAAGAACUAUUUCCCAAGUUAAUAAGGUUAAUUGGCACUAAAAGAAAUGAUCAUCAAGCUUGGAAUGUCAUAACAGGGAUGUCCUCAGACUGUGAAGAACCUGUCCAAGGGAAGGAGCUAGGUAAGUGACAAAGGAGAAAUACAUUUCCUAUCCUCAGCCAUUUGUGCCUUUCCUAAGCAAAAAAGAGAGACAAGAAAGUAGUUCUCAUAAUUCAGAAGCUUUGUGCAGUAUGAACCACUAGAGCAUUAAAAACCACAGUGAAGAUCCAUAGGGCAACUGGAGAUAAUUGAAGGAACUAAUUUACUCAGGCCAACCAAGGUAUCACUUAGUAACCAACAGUUUCCUCCUUCAUUUGUGAAAUGCACUGUUUUAAUAUACCAUGCUUUAGUUUUAAAAAUCUGGUGUUUGAUCAUUUCUGCUGCUAGGCUGAAGCUGAUGGGAAAAUUAUGUUUUUAUUUGUGAGCUAAAAUGAAUUAGUUUGAUCGUAAAGCGUCACGUGCUCUGGAGAUGUGGGAGAGCACAUGGACAUGGUUCAUUUAAUGCUGUUGCCUGAGCUCUAGUGCCAGUAAGACGGUAGUCUUUACCCUAGGGCUGAGUAGCCGUGGGAUCAGGAGCAAUGGGAUUUUCAGAUAUGGCUAAUCCUGUUUACUCUUGUUGUUACAAUACAAGAACACAGCAGUAAGAUUU
This 989-nucleotide long non-coding RNA is filed under the name Anser brachyrhynchus (Pink-footed goose). RNAcentral's name for it is "lncRNA (ENSABRG00000004710.1)". Lineage: Eukaryota; Metazoa; Chordata; Aves; Anseriformes; Anatidae. The record is from RNAcentral.